This 506-nucleotide ribosomal RNA is filed under the name uncultured bacterium. RNAcentral's name for it is "partial 16S ribosomal RNA". It matches the Rfam family "Bacterial small subunit ribosomal RNA", at positions 28 to 523 of the family's 1533-position model. The record is from RNAcentral.
GAUGAACGCUAGCUACAGGCUUAACACAUGCAAGUCGAGGGGUAACGAGAGGAAAGCUUGCUUUCCUUGUCGACGACCGGCGCACGGGUGAGUAACGCGUAUCCAACCUGCCCCCAACUAGGGAAUAACCUUGCGAAAGUAAGACUAAUACCCUAUAAUUUCCUCAGAUGUCAUCUGACGAGGAAUAAAGAUUUAUCGGUUGUGGAUGGGGAUGCGUCUGAUUAGCUUGUUGGCGGGGUAACGGCCCACCAAGGCAACGAUCAGUAGGGGUUCUGAGAGGAAGGUCCCCCACAUUGGAACUGAGACACGGUCCAAACGCCUACGGGAGGCAGCAGUGAGGAAUAUUGGUCAAUGGGCGGAAGCCUGAACCAGCCAAGUAGCGUGCAGGAUGACGGCCCUAUGGGUUGUAAACUGCUUUUAUACAGGAAUAAAGUUAGCCACGUGUGGUUAUUCGUAGGUACUGUAUGAAUAAGGACCGGCUAAUUCCGUGCCAGCCGCCGCUGUAA